UCGGCCUCCCGCCUUUAUAUAGAUGAAUGUCCAUAUUCUGUCUCCAGCCACCCCUCCUGUGUCCCAUGCCCUCGGGCUCAUUUACGGGCUUCAAUUGCAUUCCCUUCCUUCUCCUAUAUCAUCAAAUGUUCACUCCCUGGGAGGUAUCUCUGUCAGCCUACAAACAUGCUUUUAUUUAUCCUAUCUUAAAAAAUAAUUAUCAGUAUGGUUGGCAAAUAAGCUUAUGAAAAGAUGCUUAACAACAUUAGUCAUUAGGGAAAUGCAAAUUAAAACUACAAUGAGAUUCCACUACACACCAAUUAAAAUGUUUAAAAGACUGACCAUGAAACAACGUAAACAUCCAUCAACAACUGAAUGGAUAAACAAAAUGUGGAGCAUACAUGCAAUGGACUACUACCCAGCCAGAAGAGAAAUGAAGUCCUGAUACAUGUUACAACAAGGAUAAACCCUGAAGACAUUAUGCUGAGUGGAAUAAGACAAACGUAUAGAGAAGGAAGUCUAUUAGUGGUUACCAGGGGUGGGGGUUUGUAAUCGCUAUGGAGCACUGUUUCUGCUUAUGUUGUUGUUGUUGCUAGGUGCCAUCAAGCAGGUUCUGACUGAUGGCGACCCUACAUACCACAGAACGAAACACUGCCCGGUCCUGCGCCAUCCUCACAAUCGUUGCUUUGCUUGAGCCCAUUGUUGCAGCCACUGUGUCAGUCCAUCUCGUUGAGGGUCUUCCUCUUUUAUGCUGACCCUCUACUUUACCAAGCAUGAUGUCCUUCUCCACAGACUGAUCCUUCCUGGCAACAUGUCCAAGUGUCAAAGUCAGAAGUUUGCUGACCCUCAAAGCCCCACGUGUUCUGGGCUCUGUCACCUCUUGUUCGCUCUGCUCCAAGCACACUGGCCGUGUUUUUCUCUUUUUCGAGCAUAUGAAGCUGUUGAAAACAUCACGGCUUGGGCCACGUCCUCUUUCGUGACAGUCAUUUCCAGUUUCCUGUAACAAAACGUUUGAAACAACCCAGGUGCUCAUCAACAGAUGAAUGGAUAAACCCAGUGUGGUCCAUCCAUACAAUGAAAUGUUAUUCAGCAGUAAAAAAGAAUGAAGUUCUGAUAGAUGCUGCAACAUGACUGAACCUUGAAAACGUUAUACUGAGUAAAAAAAAACAGACACCUAACGGACCACAUCUACCACGGCCUCCACCAGACUGAGUCCAGUACAACUAGAUGGUGCCCAGCUACCAACACUGACUGCUCCGACAAGGGUCACAAUAGAGGGUCCCAGACAGAGCUGGAGGAAAAUGUAGAACAAAAUUCUAACUCAAAAAGAAAGACCAGACUUGCUGGCCUGACAGAAAUUGGAGAAACGCUGAGAGUAUGGCCCCCAGACACCCUUUCAGCUCAGUAAUGAGUUCACUCCUGAGGUUCACCAUUCAACCAAAGAUUGAACAGGCCCAUGGAACAAAACAAGACUAAAGGGGGCACCAGCCCUGGGGCAGUGUCUGGAAGGCAGGAGGGGACAGGAAAGCUGGUAAUAGGGAACCCAGGGUUGAGAAGGGAGACUGUUGACAUGUUGUGGGGUUGUUACCAAUGUCAUACAAAAACUAACUGUUUAAUGAGAAACUGGUUUGUUCUAUAAACCUUUAUCUAAAGUGCAAUUAAAAAAAAAAAAAAGCCAGACGCAAAAGAAUGAAUUUUGUAUGAUGCCACUUAAAUAUAAAAUAUCUGGAAUAGGCAAAUGCAUAGAAACCCGAGUUUAUCAUCAGUGGUUACCAGGGACUGGAGGGAGGAGGAAAUGGGGAGUUAUCUCUUAAGGGGUACUAAGUUUCUGUUUGGGGUGAUGAAAACAUUGGAAAUGGAUAGUGGUGAGGGUUAUACAAUAGACAAAUAUGACUAAUGUAGUUUGUCAUUGAAUUGUACACUUGAAAAUAGUGAAAAUGACAAAUAUGUAUAUUUUGCCACAAUAAAAAUUAAAUUAUAUAAAUAAUGACCAAAAAAGGCUGCAAGGCUAAUAACAGCAAUAGUUGUAUUAUUACCUCCAUGUAAAAAGCGGAAAUUGAAGCUCAGAGUAGAAGAUUUGCUCAAGUUCGCACAGGAGUUCGUUCAUUUGUUCCACAAAUGUAUUUGUUGAAUACCUACAAUGGGAGAGGGAUGUGCUGGCCACUGGGUGUAUCGGGUGAGCAGAACAGACCCUGAACCUACCCUCAAGGGUCUCAUUGUCCAAGUGGGCAGAGAGUUGCUGUUUGAGCCGCCACAACUGGACACGUGCAGCUAUGACUUCAUUAUAGGCGGGAGGAGGCACAGUGGUCUGACAGCCUGUGAAAUGGGGAUGACCUCGUCGGGAAGCCAGGGAAGGCUCCCUGGAAAAGGUGAUGCCUGAGCAGGGGGGUAAAGGCUGAGUAUGGGAUAACUAUGCAGAGAGGAAAGAGAGUAGCAUUCCAGGCAAAGAAUGCAGAGCAUUUCAAGGGCCAUGGCUGGAGGGCGGGGGACAAAUUCAAGGGACUGAAAAGACAGCCAGAGGGGAGGAUGGUGGGAUGUGAGGCUGGAGAAGUCAGCAGAGGCCAGAUCAUGUAGGGACUUCAAGGUCAUGGAAAGGACUUUUUUCUUUAUCCUAACAACAAAUGGUAACCAGUAAGGGGCUUGAACAAUGAGAGGAAGGCGGAGGUAGGCACUUGGUUUUAAGAAGAACUAGCUGGCGAGGUUGGGGAGAGCCAAACUGGAUGGAGGUUGACCAGUUAGGAGUCUGCUGCAGUUGUUUCCAAAAGAAUGAUGGUGGCUGGGCUAGGGUGGGGACAGGAGAGAAGAUGAAAUCAAGAGAUGUUUAGGAAGUGACAUCUAUUGAGAGAGUACGAAUUGCUCGUGAUCUUAACUUGGAGCCCCUGGGUGGUGUAAACAGUUAUGUGCUCGGCUGCCAACCAAAAGGUUGAAGGUUUGAGUCUACCCAGAGGCACCUCAGAAGAAAGGCCUGGCAACCCACUUCUGAAAAAAUCAGCCAUUGAAAACCCUAUGGAGCACAGUUCUACUCUGACAAACAUGGGGUUGCCAUGAGUUGGAACUGACUCAACGGCAAGUGGUUUUUUGUGCUCUUAACUACCACGUUAUACAUUUUGGAGACAAUCUCAGACGCAGUUCAAGAGGUUUGUCUCCAACAGGUGAGCUGUUGGAGACCUGGGACAGGCCCGUGGGGACUAGGAGAUGGGCCAGGCCAGCAUGGCCGGAGAGAAGCCACAAAGCUACACAAUUGGGAGGGGAUUUGUGUGUGAGCACUGGGUAGAGGAAGUCUUCGGAAGGAAGAGGUUGGUGGGAAUUUGGAACAGGCGACUGACUGGGGACAGCAUCCAAGCUCCAGUAAAGAAGUUUGGUCUGAGUGUCCAGGGUCACUGGAGGUAGCAAAGGCCAAAUACAUAGCUCCCUAUCCCCAGGUUGCCAAGUUUCCUCACUGCAGAUCGGUCCCAGAACCUGCUCUUUCUUGGCCAGACAAAGCCUCAGAAUUGACCUUUUUUUCCCUUUUUUAUUUGUUGUACUUUAUUUUAUUUUUUAUUGUACUUUAGAUUAAGGUUUAUAGAACAAACUAGUUUCUCAUUAAACAGUACACAUAUUGUUUUAUGACAUUGUUAACAACCCCACAACAUGUCAACACUCUCCCUUCUCAACCUUGGCUUCCCUAUUACCAGCGUUCCUGUCCCCUCCUGCGUUCUAGUCCUUGCCCCAGGGUGUGCCCCUUUAGUCUUGUUUUUUUUUUUAUGGGUCCAAUCUUUGGCUGAAUGGUGAACCUCAGGAGUGACUUUAUUGCCGAGCUGAAAGGGUGUC
This is a long non-coding RNA of Loxodonta africana (African savanna elephant), 3789 nucleotides long. RefSeq lists it as uncharacterized. The record is from RefSeq and is a predicted model, not a curated record. The transcript has 4 exons. Lineage: Eukaryota; Metazoa; Chordata; Mammalia; Proboscidea; Elephantidae.